RNAcentral lists this ribosomal RNA (497 nucleotides) under uncultured bacterium. RNAcentral describes it as "partial 16S ribosomal RNA". It matches the Rfam family "Bacterial small subunit ribosomal RNA", at positions 28 to 507 of the family's 1533-position model. The record is from RNAcentral.
GAUGAACGCUGGCGGCGUGCCUAAUACAUGCAAGUCGAGCGAACAGGUGAGGUGCUUGCUCCUCUGACGUUAGCGGCGGACGGGUGAGUAACACGUGGAUAGCCUGCCUAUAAGACUGGGAUAACUUCGAGAAACCGGAGCUAAUACCGGAUAAUCUAUUGAACCGCAUGGUGCAAUAGUGAAAGGCGGUUUUGCUUUCACUUAUAGGUGGUUCCGCGCCGGAUUAUCUACUUGGUGAGGGACCGGCUUCCCAAGGCAACGAUGGGUAGCCGACCUGAGAGUGUGAGCGUGCACACUGGAACUGAGACACGGUCACGACUCCGACGGGAGGGAGCAGUAGGGAAUCUUACGAAAGGGGCGAAAGCGGGACGGAGCAGCGGCGCGUGAGUGAUGAAGGUCUUCGGAUCGUAGAUCUCUGUUACUAGGGAAGAACAAAUGGGUAAGUAACUAUGCACGUCGUGACGGUACUUAAACAGAAAGCAACGGCUAACUACGUG